Molecule: non-coding RNA, 1538 nt
Organism: Delphinapterus leucas (beluga whale)
Lineage: Eukaryota; Metazoa; Chordata; Mammalia; Artiodactyla; Monodontidae
Source: RefSeq, a predicted model, not a curated record
AGGGCAUCUUUGGUGUUUUCCCCUCCUCGAAGAAGUAGUUACUUAGCACCCAGAACCUCUUUCCAAGUAGUCCUAUGGAGAAUGAAAUCUUGUGACAUAGCCAGACAGCAGAGAUUACUGUUCGUUCUGUCCAGGAUCCUGAGUGAUACUGAAAGUUCACUAGUGAGCCAUCUAAGCAUAGUUUCACUUAUGGGAGAAACUUAAUAAUCCUUCAAUUAUGGAUUCAGUUACUUUAACAGGUGGUCACAAAGCACCGAGCGGAUCUCCUUGUGCUAUGCAGCUGCUUCCCACUAGCUAGCUAUUUUACGUUUGGUACUAGGUGUGAUGGUCAUUUACCCUUGUGAUCCAGUGACUGGCUGGGAGCUGUCCAGCAUCAAAAGAGAGCAUCAUACUAGCCCAGGAAAAGAUCAAAAUUCAAAAUUUGAAGUGUGGUUUCUACUUAAUGCCUAUCACUUUCAUACCAUCAUAAAGUCAGAAAACCGUAAGUCAGGGACCUUCUAUACUGCUUUUGCUGUAUCCCACAUGUUUGGAUAUGUCAUAUAUUCAUUAUUAUUCAACUACAAUGUUUGGUAAUUUCCAUUUGAAGUGGGGAUUUUAUGUCCCAUGAUGAUAUUUCCAGGGACGUAAGAAUGGCCAAAUCCUGCCCUGCUCACCACUGGGAAGAUUCCUGAGGAUGCUUAUAUGUAUUAGCUUCAUACAAAUGGAAAGUGAAGAAGGACUUUCAGCCGAACCAGGACCUGAUUACCUCUAAAGCAGGAAAGGUGGGUUGAGGUUCAGGCCUAAGUGGAGUUUCCUACUUCCUUCUGAAUCCAGAAAAGCAAGCUCAGAAUUCCUAUAAGGAUGAGUAGGAGAGAUAGGCCACGCCUCAAACUAGCCAAGGGUUGACUUGACUUUCAAGUAUCUGAGCUGAAAUAGAAAGAGAAAGAGGUAGCCAAUCACAGGGUACUAAAUUAGCUCUCCUUAGAUUUGCUUAUUAUCACAGGUAGGCAAAGACUUAAAAUGCAAGCGAUAUAAGCAGAGUGAGUGGAGUCUUGAGUCCUACAUUUUAAGUUAGACUAAGGACUAAUUUCCUACUCAUAAAUGGACUGCGAACAAAAGAAUCAGCCCUCCUCACCCCUCCAGUGUGGGGAGGGGAAGAGGCAAGGUCUACAAAGAAGGAAAGCAGAAGUGGAAAUUUCCUGAUUUAGGCAAAGAGAGGUAUUCUUUUAUCCACACCAUCUGGUUUUGUUUAAUUUUAAUCUUUUGGGUUUACAGCUUUAAAGUCUGCCCAAUGUGUUCAGGGAAAGAGAUCAGAGAAUUAUCAUGGGAUCCUUGUUUCCACCUGCCCUUAUUUUGUCAUUCGCAUCAUUACCACCAUCAUCUUUAUUAUCAUUUAUGGAACACUUACCAUAUGCCAAGUCCAUUGCUAAGCACUUUACAACUCAUUUUAUAAUCUAAAAACCGCAAAGUAAUAUUAACCCAUCCUCAGUUGAGGAAAACUAAGGCUUAAGAAUGUUUAAAGAUGAAGGGAUUUCUGAGAUAAAGUAAAUGCUGCAGGC